GAAACGGCCAAGUAUACAACACGGUAACUUAUUUUUUAAAGAAAUUCAAUUGGAGUUUUGUUAAAACAAUAUUGUCAUAAUUGUAAUUAUUAGCAGUUGAUUUUUGUACUUUACAUCAGUUUUUGCAUUAAUAUUUAUUACUUGCUUUGCUUUUUUCUUCAUCAGACAGAUGAAUUUGUCUAAAUAGAUGAAGGUUUAGAAAAUUUGAUAAAUUUUGAAACGAAAUAUGCAAAAUACAGUGUUGAAACGUAACAUGUGUUAUUCAGUAUUUUACUAGUAAAGUUGAAUAUUUGUGACACUUUAUGAAAUUUACAUUUUUUUCUCGACAGAAAACACUGACAGAAAAUUAUAUAUGCACAGUGCUAAAUGUUCAAAAUCAGCGAAUCUUCGCGAAUCGACGUAAACAGAGAAUGCUAGAGAAAGUUUUGAAAGUUCGGUUUCAUUUCCCAGAAGCGCACGUGUUUUCGAACCCAAUCCCUUCUCAGCCAGCGCAUCGCCAUGUUGUGGAAACGCAACUACGAAACUCAAYGUGAAUUUUCGAGUUUAUUUUGAAUUUUAUCUGAAAGUUUACAUAGAUUAAGAAUACUUCUGUAUGUGAAAGUGGCCUUAGAGCUUCAAAAUGGCAACUUCAAUUCCAGCUCUUGGUAACCCUUUACAAGACAAAGACAAUUUUCCUCCAUUUUCCUACGUUCCAAGUGAAAAUGAGAUCGAUGAGAAUUUCUACUAUACAGAAGAUGGAUGUAGUUACAGGCAUAAACAYCACUGGUGCUUCAUUGGUGAAAUUACARAUGAUGAACACUCGCAACUCAAGUAUUUCCGAAACAGAAUCUUGGUGAAAGAUCUUAAAGGUGAAAGUGACAUUCCAAUUGCCUUUUACCCUGACCCACCUGAUAGUCGUGAAUUCUUCGAUUUUACUGAACUUAAAAAAGGCUAUACAGUGUGUAUACGUUAUGCUGAGAAACACUUUUUUUGUGAUAUGACAUGCGGAUUUCGUGUGGARUGCCUUCCUUAUGUAAAAGUCAUCAAGUGYUCUCUUGAUACUCUUCGUAUGAUCUCAGCUCAGGAUCCAACAAAUCGUCCUAAACUUUGCUGGACCUGUGGMGCAAACCAGAGCAAAUAUGGGCUCAAACUGUUGUCAUGCCAACGAUGUAAACUUGCAAAGUAUUGUGGGAGAGAUUGCCAGAAAAGCAAUUGGAAAUAUCAUAAAAAGUUAUGCGAGUACAUUCCUGACUACGCCAUUCUUGUGAGCCUGGCUGAUAGGGUGUUUACUAAAUACAUACCAUUUGAAGAUUAUUGACUUUUCUCAAUACAAAGCUGCUUUUGUAAGCAUGUAUUUGUGGUUCUAUGACCUAAAGGGUUUGAUAUUAACAGAAGUGUAGUUUUUUCAUGGAGCUGUAGACUAAAAAUUCACAGUUAAAGCAUUAAAAGGUGACAAAAGGAAAGCUUGGACUGAUUCAACUACCAUAGUAUUUAAUUCUACAGGCAGUCUAGCACUCAUCUUGCAUUCUGUUUACGCACUCAGCAAGAUGAUUGAGUAUUGACACACCAAAUGACAAAAACAAGUGCACAAACUACUGUGAUGGCCGAGUUUCACUUCAUGUUUCUAUUUUCAGUUUGGUUGGGCUGCCUGUGGUAUACUGGUUGUCAUAGAGCUUAUCUGUACUUUGUUGUUUUGCUAUGCUAUAGAUUGGAUGGUUUCACUAAUUUAGCGAAAUAUUCUACGUUGCUGUGCAAAAUGUAAUGUUUUUCUGAUAUUUCAGUCAUACGUUGUGACAUUUAAUGUUGGGGCGUUUAAUGGCAAGUUCACAGUAUUGUAUAUAUUAUAAACACAAAUAUCCAAAAACUCUUUUUUUACAUCUAUGAAAUCACAUCGACUGAAAAUUAUGUUUUUACUAACAUUGUGAAGUUUUUUCCUCAGAGUUAUUUUGACGGUAGUCAGUGGCGCUCGCGAGAAACAAKGUCACGUGAUUUGUCAGUGCAAGUAACGGAAAGUGAUGUUAUGUUUUCAAACCCAACCUGCAGCCAAUAACAAAUAAACUUUGUUUUCCGAUAAUAUUGACCUCAAACUAAGUAGRAGAAAUGUCAAAUAAAAGUAUUUCUUUUACUCUUUUCGAGUAUUAUUGGCAUCGUUUUGCCUUUAAAAUCAAGUCUCUGUUGGCACUUAUACUUUUAGUGUUCACUAAUUUCGUUUUUCAAUACCUAUUAUGUGAGUAUAGUCGUCGAUUGAUACACCGGUGUUUGUAUUAUUGCAACUGCCAUUGGCAUCAUGUAAUAGCUUUAUUAGGAACUUGAUCUGACCACGUUAGUGACCUUCCGAUCAGAAGCAAGUCUUUAUCUAGCAUUUGUCUCGUUGUUUAGCCAACUUUCUACGCCCAUCCAGUUGUUGAGGAGCUGCUAUUGCCACGAACAUCAUGAAAUCAUUGAUCAUAGCUGCCUUUUGUCUGACCAUAUUGGUACAAGAAUUGGCCGGAGCACCAGUGAAUACUGACUACAAAAACGACAAAAAACAACUUGUCCCUGGAACGGUAACAUCGUAUGGUCAAACAGAAGUCACACCGCCUUCAUUUCCCAGUAACUACAACGCUAAUGGAGGGGCAUCAUACGCUGACCCUUGUGUGAACACAGGAUAUAACACUGGAUCGUACAAUACUGGAUACGGCAAUACAGGGUAUAACAGCAUGGGGAUCCCAUGUAGCACUACUUACGGCGCGCAGGACGGAGAUGUAUUUAACAGACCGGUAGAGUUAGUUGCAGUAAAGGAYUUUCAUGUCAAAAAUGGCAAAGUUGUCCCACCUACAAACAUCGUUCAAGGAUAAAUUGACUAGUUAUUGGUAUGAAAACACACGUUUCAUUGGAUUUGAACGCUUGCGUGGAAAAAUCAUAAUAUUAUUAAAAACCUUAUCCGUUUCCUUAUAAGUGGAACGAAAAAUGACAUUCGUGGAUGGAAAAUAACUGAACARCGAACCAACAAUGAUAUGGACAACAGAAUGGUUUACUUGCCCAGAAGACAAUCGACUUUUUGGGUGUAUUUUUGUAGAUAUUUACAUUAUAAAGUAAGAUGUAAUAAUUGUAACCUGUACAUUACUUGUAUAAUCACAAGUUUAAUCGGUUAGUUUAGUUUUUAGCUAUAAAGUUGUCUAUUUUUGAUGAUAUUUCUUUCAACUUCWGUCUCGCAUAGUGUAACUUUGUAAUGCUUUUCGGGCGCUCAGCAAAAGAUUUGUAGGGAAAAUGUAUUCAGAUAUAUUUUUAUAUAAUUUUUCUACUAAAAAUCAGUCAUAUUACACGUUUUUGUGCUGUUUUAAAGCUUUCCAUCACAGAUACCACAAGAUGGUACAUCUGGAAACAUGGCGCCGAAAAGCAUGACRRGAAUUUUCUCUGGUCACUAUUACAAAAUGCGUUGAAGUUGUCGAAAGUGUGACUAAUAUAUUAUGAAAUGUAUAAAAAGGCCUUUGGUAAAUCUAUCUACACUAAAAUCAGUUGUUAGGAUUUGUACAUAAAUACAGGAAAAUAAAUCUAGAAAUUUA
Long non-coding RNA from Exaiptasia diaphana, 3524 nucleotides. RefSeq lists it as uncharacterized. The record is from RefSeq and is a predicted model, not a curated record. Lineage: Eukaryota; Metazoa; Cnidaria; Anthozoa; Actiniaria; Aiptasiidae. The transcript is spliced from 4 exons.